This 2647-nucleotide long non-coding RNA is filed under the name Equus caballus (horse). RNAcentral describes it as "lncRNA (ENSECAG00000057512.1)". Lineage: Eukaryota; Metazoa; Chordata; Mammalia; Perissodactyla; Equidae. The record is from RNAcentral.
GGAAAGAGUUUAGGACCUAUCUGUUUUACAGCCUGCUUCUGUCCCGGGCAAAAUCCCCCAGCCAGGGCUCUGGAGCUGGGCUGGGGACAAUGGUGUGCUUCUUUCAGAGUGAUAGCCCUGUUUAGGAGUUGAGCAUGUGGUGGAAGGGAGGAAUUAGCCUCAGGUCUUCUCAGCUUGCCUCUCCUGGUGUGAAACCAGCACUUUCUAACUCAGGUCAGGCAUGAUUGUGACAUCAUGCCGUGAGAGAGCCUCCACUGCGGAACAGGAGUCCCCACCUCUUGGCCAUACUUGCCCGGAACUCAGCCUCAGCCACAGGUAGCUGGGGCAGCAUGAGAAAUGCUGAUGUCCGGCUCCUCCCCGGAAGAAAGCCCCUCACGGGGAGCUGAGGGGAGAGUGAGCCCUGUGCUCUUGGCUGCAGUCUGGAGUGGACUUUUUUCUCGCAUAAACCCACAAGGUUGAGGAGGAGAGGAGUAGAGAUCACAGCAACGCAAUUCUGGAAAUGGAAAGCAGAAGGAUAAGAGAUCCCAGACACCGGGCCUGGUCGCUGAGGAAAUGCGAAGCUCUAAGCAGCCGAAAGAGAGGGGCUCGUUGAGGAGGAUCGUGCCUCCAGAAGGAGGACGACCCAGUUCACCCACUGAGGCGGAAGGAGGGAAGGGCCAGAGGGGAACAUUAACCAAACGUCAACAGGAUGUGUGAGGACUGCCACGACAGCAGAGUGAACACGCCAGCAUCCUCUCCUAAGUAAACUUCAGACUUCCAUUACUAACACCAACAUCCGUCCUGCUGCUUAAUCCUCUUAAUCCCUCUAACGCACUCACGACCCGGGGACAACUUUUGCAUGCUGUUACCUGCUCUCAUUUUCAUACACUUCAAAAAACCCCAAAUGAUGCCUGAUUACCAAAAGAGCAAGAACAAAAUCUGCUGACCGAGAAGCAGCUGGGAGAACAGCGGUGGACAAAGCAGAAAACCGCGAGCAGUGUUAGCCGCACUUCAACAUUUUCAAUCCUCUCCAUCUGCCGACUUAGAAACAUGAGCCCCAGGAAUGUGAAAAAUGAGGAACAAUGUUAAUUAAAGGCAGAUGGAUUAGCAAUAGUGGGGACCUGAUCAGUGACUCCUGAAAGGAGGGAGGAAAAGAGAGAGACCGGGAUUAAUGAAAGACAAAUGAUGCUGCAACCUUGAACGGAGGAUCAUGGCUCCACCCGUUGGUCAAGUCCUCUAUUCCUGGCCCCUGCUUUGAAUCCUUACAAGUUCACUCCUGGUGGGAAGAGCCUUAGGGUUUGGAAGCUUGAACUUGCCCUUGGAGUUCUUGGUCCAAGCUGGAAUGGGUCAAGGAAAAGGGUGGGAGCUAUUUAGUAUGACAACUUCUCUCACUGAACUGUGUGUUCCUGUCAAAAUUUCAUUUCAAAUUUAUGAGAGAACUAGGCUUCCAAGAAAACGAGUUCAAAAUGUAUAUCUGGUCGAGAGUGUUUACAGCAAGAAAGAAUGACUCGAUACUGUUGUGAAGCCAGGUAUAAGGAAGGAAUGUCUGGUGAAAUGCAUUAGGCUUACUCCCUGGUGGGUUAAGACCACCUAGAAAGGCUUCUCUUAGACUGGCUUCCCAGAAGCGGAGCCUGACGCAGGGAUCUGGAGGCAUGUGGCCACUGGAGGGCUCUUCAGAAAAUACAUGUAAGGCAGAGAGGACAGGGACAACCAAGAUGAGAUCUCAGGUGAAGUCUAGCCUUGGGGAUUCAAGUGGAGAUCACACCACAGAAUGGUCCUGACCUAAGGCAAGAGGGUGGGCUCUCGCACCCCUUUGGUGAGGCAUCGGCUUCCAGGCGUGGGGGCGGGGUGGAGUGCCCCAAGAUUGUCAGGGCGAGGGGCUCCCAUCAGCCAAGGGCAGUCCCCCAGAGAGGGGCACAGGUGUCAGCCAAUAGCUUGGGGACCGUUGCAUUGGCCCAUGACAGGGAUUUGGGUGGGUCCCCCUGCAAUAGUCUGUUACUCCUGGCGAGCCAGACUCUGCCUCUGAUAGCCUAUCAGGAGACUGCACAACUCUAGCGCCAGAAAUGCCAGCUGAGCGACUUCACCUUUCUUCAGGCGAGAGACAGCUAUCUUUCUGAGAAGCGUGUGUCUUAUCCCUUCUCCUGCUGCGUGCUUCUUGGACAGUGUCCCGGGAGGGGCUCGAAUUGUCCCCCAGUUACACCAUUUGCUCUUCUCUGGCGAUGAUUUUUGGUAAGCCUCUGAAGGAGAAGUUUGUAAAAAUGACUCUAAUCGAUGAAUGCUAAGUGAUAUAUAUCUAUAUAUAUAUAUUUUCCCACCCGCAAUGUAGGAUAAUCUUUAGAUGUGUCUAGUGAUGUGUGAUGAGGGUGGAGGAACUCCAUUCUCUGCAUCUUUACUAGAAUGGGUCUUAGAGCAUUUUUAAAGGUUCUCCUUAUUUCCCAGGAAGAUAGAUAACAUUUUUAUUGAAUCCUUUAAGGAGUACAAUUCAGUGGAUUUUACUAUAUGGUUUGGCAUAUUCACAAAAUUGUUAAAUUUUCCUAUAUAUUUACUAUAUUAGAAAAACCCAAUUUUUUUGUGGUGAACAUGAUGUAAUGUAUACAGAAUUCGAAAUAUGAUGUACAUCUGAAAAAAAGAAAAAUUAAAAAAAAGAAAAGAAAAAAGAAAAACCCAG